This 613-nucleotide ribosomal RNA is filed under the name Klebsiella pneumoniae. RNAcentral's name for it is "partial 23S ribosomal RNA". It matches the Rfam family "Bacterial large subunit ribosomal RNA", at positions 243 to 899 of the family's 2925-position model. The record is from RNAcentral. Lineage: Bacteria; Pseudomonadati; Pseudomonadota; Gammaproteobacteria; Enterobacterales; Enterobacteriaceae.
GUAGCGGCGAGCGAACGGGGAGCAGCCCAGAGUCUGAAUCAGCUUGUGUGUUAGUGGAACGGUCUGGAAAGUCCGACGGUACAGGGUGAUAGUCCCGUACACCAAAAUGCACAGGCUGUGAACUCGAAGAGUAGGGCGGGACACGUGGUAUCCUGUCUGAAUAUGGGGGGACCAUCCUCCAAGGCUAAAUACUCCUGACUGACCGAUAGUGAACCAGUACCGUGAGGGAAAGGCGAAAAGAACCCCGGCGAGGGGAGUGAAAAAGAACCUGAAACCGUGUACGUACAAGCAGUGGGAGCACCUUCGGGUGUGACUGCGUACCUUUUGUAUAAUGGGUCAGCGACUUAUAUUCUGUAGCAAGGUUAACCGUAUAGGGGAGCCGCAGGGAAACCGAGUCUUAACUGGGCGUUAAGUUGCAGGGUAUAGACCCGAAACCCGGUGAUCUAGCCAUGGGCAGGUUGAAGGUUGGGUAACACUAACUGGAGGACCGAACCGACUAAUGUUGAAAAAUUAGCGGAUGACUUGUGGCUGGGGGUGAAAGGCCAAUCAAACCGGGAGAUAGCUGGUUCUCCCCGAAAGCUAUUUAGGUAGCGCCUCGUGAAUUCAUCUUCGG